Molecule: ribosomal RNA, 497 nt
Filed under: uncultured bacterium
Lineage: Bacteria
Description: partial 16S ribosomal RNA
Rfam family: Bacterial small subunit ribosomal RNA
Source: RNAcentral
GAUGAACGCUGGCGGCGUGCCUAAUACAUGCAAGUCGAGCGAACAGACGAGGAGCUUGCUCCUCUGACGUUAGCGGCGGACGGGUGAGUAACACGUGGAUAACCUACCUAUAAGACUGGGAUAACUUCGGGAAACCGGAGCUAAUACCGGAUAAUAUAUUGAACCGCAUGGUUCAAUAGUGAAAGACGGUUUUGCUGUCACUUAUAGAUGGAUCCGCGCCGCAUUAGCUAGUUGGUAAGGUAACGGCUUACCAAGGCAACGAUGCGUAGCCGACCUGAGAGGGUGAUCGGCCACCCUGGAACUGAGACACGGUCCAGUCUCCUACGGGAGGCAGCAGUAGGGAAUCUUCCGCCAUGGGCGAAAGCCUGACGGAGCAGCGCCGCGUGAGUGAGGAAGGUCUUCGGAUCGUAAAACUCUGUUAUUAGGGAAGAACAAAUGUGUAAGUAACUAUGCACGUCUUGACGGUACCUAAUCAGAGAGCCACGGCUAACUACGUG